RNAcentral lists this long non-coding RNA (2109 nucleotides) under Mizuhopecten yessoensis (Yesso scallop). RNAcentral describes it as "uncharacterized LOC110447350". Lineage: Eukaryota; Metazoa; Mollusca; Bivalvia; Pectinida; Pectinidae. The record is from RNAcentral.
AAUAAAUGAUGUAACAAUCAAAUACCUGCUCACAAGAGAAGAUAACUUUGCAAUAAGAAAAGACGGAAUAACCAAGUAGUUUUAUUAUAUUGGUGAAACCAAAACAUUUGCAGUUAACCAGGCCACCUGAGGAAUUAGUUUUCUAUAUAUAGGCAUGGUCUGUUUUGGACUGUUGGAUGUAAUCCUCAGAUUUCCAGGGGUUUCACUCUUACUUUCUCUGCACCCCUGGAUUAUGUCAUGACGAAAUCAAAGGCACGCUGUUAGCUAUUUCAUUGUUUUCAGCUUAAAAUGACUGACCAAUGUCUAAGCUGUCCUUUUAAGAUUACAAAAGGGGGAUGCCCGAAUUCAAAGCUGGAUGAUUUUACCAUUACUCUGCCACAAAAUAUUCUGUUGAUGUUCGUCUGUUCUUCAAAGGAUCAAAUUAGCCUGCAGUGUAACAUCCAUAAGGUAGCGCGUACAAUACCAGGUCUUUGAUUUGCUCAUGUCAUAUUCUAGGGGGUAAUGAACAGAAACAAGAGUAACCCCGGGAAUUCUCAGGAUGCAUUGGAUGUUUACAAAAAAGUUCCUUGUCAAGGGAGACAACCAUGACGAGACUUCAAUCAAAACUUGUAUUUAACACGAUUUUCCAGGUAUUAGUUUUUUUCCAUCGAACAAUGGUACUUAUAUAUACAGUUUUCUUCCUUUGUUAUUUUUCUGAAGUUGUUUCAUAAUUUAAUUUCGUUUUUAAAUAAGUUUAUUCUUAUCGUAAAAUACAUUUGCAUAAGUUUGUAUUAUUUUCUAAAAAAAUAAAUAUUUUGUGACAUUAGAUAAUCUUUCAUAAAAAACAUUGUACAAAUCGCCUCGCUAUUUCUAGUGAUUAUUUUUGGAGCGAUUUGCAAUUUUUAGAAAAAGUAUACUCAGUGUUAUUCAGGCUGCUGAUCUGGACAUAUUAAGUUAUCAAAUAGCCAGUAGUUGAUUUCUGAUUGAUGGAUUCAGCAGACUAGCUUGAAUAUUUUUUGGACCAAUUUCCACCGAACUUUCGCCUUGUUAAUAUAUGAUAUUAAAAGGCUGCAUCUGUUUAAAACUUAAUUGUAAUACAAUGUUGCAUCAUAUUUUAGAACGUGUACAUUGUUAAAGACGGCCUCAUAAUGCAAACCCUUGAUAUAUAGGUGGUGUGUGUCGUUUUCCCAACACUUAAAAAUGUUGUGUGUUAGGUUUUUUGUGUAGUUUUCCCAACACGUUUGUAUGUUGUAUGCCUGAGGUUGUGGGUGGGUUACAUAUGUAACCAGUUUUACCACGUUACUAGAUAUGUUCGUCAGAGGAAACUACAGACAUGCAUUCAUUGUAAAAACAAGACAUUCAUGUAACACUAUCUAUUAUUACAUUAUAUCAUUUUUCACUGCAGAAUAUCGACUAGAUUUCCCUACAGGAUUAUACUUACCUUUACACCCCUAUGUAGCUAUAGUAAACUCUAACAUGCAUUGAUUUGGAUGAGUCCAUUAUGGUCUACAGUGGUGAAAGGGUUUAUCUUCUCUCCAGUAAACCGGGAAAAACACAAUUUCCUGACAAAUAUAUCUGGUAACGGUAAUAAAUUUAUGUGACAAUAUUUUAUUUAUCCACCAAUAUUUUGGAUAAAGCCCUGCUGUGUUGGUUGGCUUUGAUGUAGAUAUAUAAACCAGAAACACAGGCCCAAGGCUAGUAUGAUGUGUAUAAGGACAAGAAAGGAGGGAUGAAUGAGAUAACCGAUGAAUGAGAUGACGGAUGAACGGACAAAGCGUACUAAGUUUCUGUAUAUACAAGCCUUUAAUAUGAAUUUCACAAUGGCUUUGCCUGGUGUAAAGUGAGGUAUAUAAAAACAAUUUUUUUUAUUAUGAAUAUUGUUUUGCUACAAUUACUUAAGAGCUUUGUUUUCAUAAACAUUUGCUUUGUUAAAAUUAAAAAUAAUAACUAGUGCCACCAGUUGUAAAUAUGGUAGCAUUGCCAGUAGGUUUAAUCUCUAGAUAACUGCCAUAGUAUGUGUGUUGUAAAAAAUCAUUUGUUUUUUGUCAAAGAUUGUUUCGAAGAGUGAACAAUUACUUAGCAUAUAAGUGUCAGAAGAAUUUAUCAGCAAGUAAAUGUAUAUUUAUUCCU